AGGAACGAAAACUGCAUUUGUGUGAAGUUUUAUGCUGCUCUUCGGGAGGGAGUUGGUUCUUCACAUGAUAAGAUGCAUAUUGUAUUCUCUGACGGAAAUAAAUUUGAGAUGAAGCCAAUAAGAUCUGAUGAAACUGGUCGGAUGUUCAAACUUGACCUUUUUUUUGACAAGUCAUACACACAAAAUAUUUGUUACACAUACUGUCUUACUGAUGAACAAGACAAAUUUGAAACCCUUGAAUAUGAAAAUCAGAAAUACAAAUACAGAACAUUGGCCAGAGACAUCACUGAGAAGGAUAAAGUCUUUCACCAGUUUGAUGAUGUAUGCAUGCAAACAGGAAAAUGGUCUUGGAAGAAGAAAACUACAGUGCUUAACAAAAUACGAUCCAAAUUCAUUCGUGCAAUGUUAACACAGCUGAUGAACUGCACAAAUGAGGAUUUAUCAGAGAUGCAAACUACAGCUUUAUUUUUUCUUACUUGUGUUCAAUCAAGACGUGUUAUUGACUCUG
This is a long non-coding RNA of Tachysurus vachellii, 508 nucleotides long. RefSeq lists it as uncharacterized. The transcript is spliced from 3 exons. NCBI's taxonomy places the organism in Eukaryota, Metazoa, Chordata, Actinopteri, Siluriformes, Bagridae. The record is from RefSeq and is a predicted model, not a curated record.